RNAcentral lists this transfer RNA (84 nucleotides) under Sutterella sp. AM11-39. Its description in RNAcentral is "tRNA-Leu". It matches the Rfam family "tRNA". From Rfam's summary of the family: Transfer RNA (tRNA) molecules are approximately 80 nucleotides in length. The record is from RNAcentral. Lineage: Bacteria; Pseudomonadati; Pseudomonadota; Betaproteobacteria; Burkholderiales; Sutterellaceae. RNAcentral also lists the same sequence under 2 other names.
GCCCGAAUGGCGAAAUCGGUAGACGCAAAGGACUUAAAAUCCUUGGCCUUUGGCAUGCGGGUUCGAGUCCCGCUUCGGGCACCA